CUGCAUGAAGUUGGAAUUGCUAGUAAUCGCGGAUCAGCAUGCCGCGGUGAAUACGUUCCCUGGCCUUGUACACACCGCCCGUCACACCAUGGGAGCCGGUAAUACCCGAAGUCAGUAGCCUAACCGCAAGGGGGGCGCUGCCGAAGGUAGGAUUGGCGACUGGGGUGAAGUCGUAACAAGGUACC
RNAcentral lists this ribosomal RNA (185 nucleotides) under uncultured bacterium. Its description in RNAcentral is "partial 16S ribosomal RNA". It matches the Rfam family "Bacterial small subunit ribosomal RNA", at positions 1316 to 1500 of the family's 1533-position model. The record is from RNAcentral.